AGAUCUCUAGCUGGUCUAGAUGGAUGAUCAGCCACGAUGGGACUGAGACACGGCCCAUACUCUGAAAAGAGGCAGCAGUGGAGAAUAUUGGACAAUGGGCGAAAGCCUGAUCCAGUCAUAUUGUGUGGUCAAAAGACCUUUUGUCAGUGAAGAUAAUGACGGUAACUGAAGAAUAAGCACCGGCUAACUCUGUGCCAGCAGCCGCGGUAAGACAGAGGGUGCGAGCGUUAUUCGGAAUGAAUAGGCGUAAAGUGCAUUAAGGUGGUUUAAAAAGUAGAUCAUGAAAGUUUAAG
This 293-nucleotide ribosomal RNA is filed under the name uncultured bacterium. RNAcentral describes it as "partial 16S ribosomal RNA". It matches the Rfam family "Bacterial small subunit ribosomal RNA", at positions 277 to 606 of the family's 1533-position model. The record is from RNAcentral.